This 801-nucleotide ribosomal RNA is filed under the name Paracoccaceae bacterium. RNAcentral's name for it is "bacterial SSU rRNA". It matches the Rfam family "Bacterial small subunit ribosomal RNA", at positions 56 to 905 of the family's 1533-position model. Lineage: Bacteria; Pseudomonadati; Pseudomonadota; Alphaproteobacteria; Rhodobacterales; Paracoccaceae. The record is from RNAcentral.
UGCAGUCGAGCGCGCCUUUCGGGGUGAGCGGCGGACGGGUUAGUAACGCGUGGGAAUAUACCCUUUGGUACGGAAUAGCCUCUGGAAACGGAGAGUAAUACCGUAUGAGCCCUUCGGGGGAAAGAUUUAUCGCCAAAGGAUUAGCCCGCGUUAGAUUAGGUAGUUGGUGGGGUAAUGGCCUACCAAGCCUACGAUCUAUAGCUGGUUUUAGAGGAUGAUCAGCAACACUGGGACUGAGACACGGCCCAGACUCCUACGGGAGGCAGCAGUGGGGAAUCUUGGACAAUGGGGGCAACCCUGAUCCAGCCAUGCCGCGUGAGUGAUGAAGGCCUUAGGGUCGUAAAGCUCUUUCGCCUGUGAAGAUAAUGACGGUAGCAGGUAAAGAAACCCCGGCUAACUCCGUGCCAGCAGCCGCGGUAAUACGGAGGGGGUUAGCGUUGUUCGGAAUUACUGGGCGUAAAGCGCACGUAGGCGGACUGGAAAGUUGGGGGUGAAAUCCCGGGGCUCAACCCCGGAACUGCCUCCAAAACUAUCAGUCUAGAGUUCGAGAGAGGUGAGUGGAAUUCCGAGUGUAGAGGUGAAAUUCGUAGAUAUUCGGAGGAACACCAGUGGCGAAGGCGGCUCACUGGCUCGAUACUGACGCUGAGGUGCGAAAGUGUGGGGAGCAAACAGGAUUAGAUACCCUGGUAGUCCACACCGUAAACGAUGAAUGCCAGUCGUCGGGUAGCAUGCUAUUCGGUGACACACCUAACGGAUUAAGCAUUCCGCCUGGGGAGUACGGUCGCAAGAUUAAAACUCAAA